GUGAGAGAGCGGGUGUUUGUCUGUUUGAAUGAAGCUGUGUGUUGUGAGAGAGAGAGAGAGAGAGAGAGAGAGUGUGUGUUUAAAAUCCUACACCGUGAUCUUAUUUGAUCCGGUCGGGGUCCCGUCCCGCUCCGACUCGGAGGUGAUGAGGCGCCGCUCGUUAGCCCGCGUGGCGGUGAGCGUCUGUCGGCCCAAAGUCUCGGGGCGCCCGCAGUAGAAACUGGGGGUAGAGAUGAUGAGUUGAUCAGAUAUACUAGCGCCGCUGGGGGUCUGGGGGGGUCACUCCCGAACCCCUUUCCUGCGGCCGGUGAGUAUUGAGGCGAUUCUGAUCUUC
Non-coding RNA from Pygocentrus nattereri (red-bellied piranha), 334 nucleotides. RefSeq annotates it as small Cajal body-specific RNA 2. The record is from RefSeq and is a predicted model, not a curated record. The transcript has a single exon. NCBI's taxonomy places the organism in Eukaryota, Metazoa, Chordata, Actinopteri, Characiformes, Serrasalmidae.